RNAcentral lists this ribosomal RNA (457 nucleotides) under uncultured bacterium. Its description in RNAcentral is "partial 16S ribosomal RNA". It matches the Rfam family "Bacterial small subunit ribosomal RNA", at positions 355 to 803 of the family's 1533-position model. The record is from RNAcentral.
UGGGGAAUUUUGGACAAUGGGCGAAAGCCUGAUCCAGCAAUGCCGCGUGUGUGAAGAAGGCCUUCGGGUUGUAAAGCACUUUUGUCCGGAAAGAAAUCCUUGGCUCUAAUACAGUCGGGGGAUGACGGUACCGGAAGAAUAAGCACCGGCUAACUACGUGCCAGCAGCCGCGGUAAUACGUAGGGUGCAAGCGUUAAUCGGAAUUACUGGGCGUAAAGCGUGCGCAGGCGGUUUGCUAAGACCGAUGUGAAAUCCCCGGGCUCAACCUGGGAACUGCAUUGGUGACUGGCAGGCUAGGGUAUGGCAGAGGGGGGUAGAAUUCCACGUGUAGCAGUGAAAUGCGUAGAGAUGUGGAGGAAUACCGAUGGCGAAGGCAGCCCCCUGGGCCAAUACUGACGCUCAUGCACGAAAGCGUGGGGGAGCAAACAGGAUUAGAUACCCUGGUAGUCCACGCCCU